AGAUGCAACGUUACUUUGUAAACUUUAGGACAACAUGCUUCGGUGUGGAGCUUUUCAUGUUUAUAACAUUUACUUACGUUUAAUAAACAAGUGCUUAUUCGUUUAAUUUGAAAUGCACAUAGUUUUCAAGAUAGCCUGAUAAAGCUGUGGUAGUAAGUAAAUUAAGCGAUGGAAAAGCCGGAUGAAGCCGCAGUCGGUGUGCAGGAGUCUGCAGAAGCAGAGGGGCCGCAGUCUCUCUCUUUUCCAGAGGUUUUCCGCAGGAUUCAAGCGGGAGAGGAAGUUCCCGGACUCCAGAAGCUGGAUAUCAAGCCUUGCCACGACCAGCCCACGGUUUCUCAGAUGCCCAGAAAAACAAAACCAUGGGAAAAAUAACUUGUGCCUCAAAAUUAUAACACGCGGACUGGUUUAUCUCUUGUAAAGUAAAACAUUUUGUAUUAUUUUACACUAAUGAAUAGCAGAUCUGUGGAUAUACGUGUAAGAUAAUACAUGCUACUUUAAGAUUUAGCAUCAAAACCUGCCUGAUACCUACAACUUUAAAAGGUUCACGCCAAAAUAAAAACGUUUGGCUCGUUUGACCAUUCAAGAUGUAUGAAAGUUUUUUUCUUAGUUUAGUAUAUUUUGAAAAAUGUUCAAAACCUGUAUCCUUCAACUUUCUUCGCAUUUGUUUUAUUGAUGUAAAUGGUUGGAUUUUUCCAACAAUUAUCUUUUGUGUAACGGAAUACAAAACAAUGAUUUGGAGCAAGUGAAGGAUUUCAUUUUGGGGUGAACUAUCCUUUUAAGUAAAAAAAAGUGAAUAGUGCUCAUCAAAGAAUACUUUUGUUGGUCCAAAAUCCCUAUUGAGGCAGCUUUAAGGAAAUCCACAAAACAUACAGUAUACAAUGAAACGAUCAGUCAUUUUUCAAUAAAAAUGACAAUAAUUUUACAAACACAUUCAUGAAACAGCAGUUCACAGCCUCUUGCAUGACCUAUGCACAUUGUAAAGGUGGAAGUAUGCUGCUUAAGUAUGGAUUUCAAUGAUAAAACAUGGUCUGCUCUGAGCCUUCACUUGCAUUAAAUGUAUUAAAAAUAUUCCUCCAAAACUUUCCUUUAUGGAAAAAACAACAACUCAAAUCUCUGAUGACCUGGGGGUCAAUUAUGAAAUUUUCAGUUUUUGCAAAAAUAUUCCCUUAAAGACUUUGUGGAUAAAGACAAGUAGAAAGCGGCGUCAACCAGCUCAAACAUAUGCUCUUCGUCUUGUUAUUGUCAAGUGGUUCCUCAUUGCUUCAUGUGCUCAUAAAAGGGAAAUGCAAACCAUUGACACACAUCCUGCUUCAGAGUUAAUUAGAGGAAGUGAGCGUCGCUGCCAAAUGGUCAGCUAGCAGUCAAAUGUGCAGAUCAGACACUAGAUAAUAACAGCAAUGUUAUGCACUAACCUAUACUCAUAAAAGUGGCUUGCUCAUGUCGGUUUCAUUGUUGGCAGGUUGGACUCAGUUCUAAGUGGACUACUUUAUAGAAACAGACUUUGAUAAGUACUUUAUUUUUUCAUUCACAAAAAUAGUUUUGUUUCGAUGGUCAAUAAAAAAAGCUGAGAAUUCAAGGUAUAGAAACGUCCCUGAAUAAAAAGACAUUCAAAAGUCAAAGUCCAAAAUGAUGGACUGAAGGCAAGUGCAGCAGAACAGCAGGAAUAAGCCAGUAUGUGCAUUCGAGUGUCCAGCGGGGUCUUUAAUAAUAAAAAAUGUAAACGGUCACCCCAUGGAUUGGUCAAAACUCUUCUGGUUCACCACCCUCAUCUUCCGGGAUUACAAACCCUUCCUGUUGAAAGAUGGAGUAAAACAGAACUGAGCAGGAUGAAGAAAGUUUAACGUCAGUCUUAUUUACACAUACUGAUAUUGGCUUACAUCUGUGGCGUACAGAAUAUCCACGAUCUUCUGCAGUGUUGGAUCACCCUCACCCUCUUUCUCUUGACAGAUGAGCUCGAUGUUUCUCAACUUGCCGAAGUAGAAAUCCCUUUCCUUUUCCAUGUCAGCAAUGGUGGCCUUCAAGUCAUUUAUCUGCUCGGAUGAACAGAACAACAAUCAGUAAAACAUUCAAUAUAAGGAUACUGAAUUAAACCUAGAAUUAUAAAACAACCGUUACAAGUUGACCAAAUAGUUUAAAUUCUAAUUAAAUCAUGUAAUAUAAAACAAUGAUGGCAUUUUCAUAAUUUAUGUUGUGAAGCUUCUUAAAGCAAUGUACUCAAAUAAAAUACAUUCAACUACAUUAAAUCAA
Molecule: non-coding RNA, 2247 nt
Organism: Danio rerio (zebrafish)
Lineage: Eukaryota; Metazoa; Chordata; Actinopteri; Cypriniformes; Danionidae
Source: Ensembl